UGAUGAUUGUUGGUGCGCGCAGAGCAAAGCGGGCGCGAUGGUGGCGGCUGUGUGCGUGCGUGCGUGCGGCCUCCCUGGCCCUGCUCCCGCUCCCUUUUAGCGCGGGCGCGGCGCUCCGGCGCUCCGAGUGGCGAGGGGGGAUGGAUCGUGGUCGUGGGUGGA
Long non-coding RNA from Triticum aestivum (bread wheat), 162 nucleotides. RefSeq lists it as uncharacterized. The transcript has 3 exons. NCBI's taxonomy places the organism in Eukaryota, Viridiplantae, Streptophyta, Magnoliopsida, Poales, Poaceae. The record is from RefSeq and is a predicted model, not a curated record.